AAGGGUGCGUAACACGUGGGCGAUCUGCCGAGAAGUGGGAGAUAGCUCGCCGAAAGGCGAAUUAAUACCGCAUGUGGUUAGGGAAGACAUCUUUCCGACACCAAAGCCGGGGCAACCUGGCGCUUCUUGAUGAGCCCGCGGCCUAUCAGCUAGUUGGUGAGGUAACGGCUCACCAAGGCUAUGACGGGUAGCUGGUCUGAGAGGACGACCAGCCACACUGGAACUGAGACACGGUCCAGACACCUACGGGUGGCAGCAGUCGAGAAUUUUUCUCAAUGGGGGAAACCCUGAAGGAGCGACGCCGCGUGGAGGAUGAAGGUCUUCGGAUUGUAAACUCCUGUCAUUAGGGAACAAUGUGCGGUUAUUAACUGUAAUCGUAUUGAUAGUACCUGAAGAGGAAGAGACGGCUAACUCUGUGCCAGCAGCCGCGGUAAUACAGAGGUCUCAAGCGUUGUUCGGAUUCAUUGGGCGUAAAGGGUGCGUAGGUGGCGCCAUAAGUCAGGUGUGAAAUCUCGGGGCUCAACCCCGAAACUGCACUUGAUACUGUGGUGCUCGAGUACUGGAGAGGAGAUUGGAA
Molecule: ribosomal RNA, 577 nt
Filed under: uncultured bacterium
Lineage: Bacteria
Description: bacterial SSU rRNA
Rfam family: Bacterial small subunit ribosomal RNA
Source: RNAcentral